This is a non-coding RNA of Oryza sativa Japonica Group (Japanese rice), 4239 nucleotides long. NCBI's taxonomy places the organism in Eukaryota, Viridiplantae, Streptophyta, Magnoliopsida, Poales, Poaceae. The record is from RefSeq and is a predicted model, not a curated record.
CCCACACACGCGCGCCCACAGCCGCGGCGCCCGCACCCGAUCCCCAUCCCCGCAAACCCUCCCCCCACUUCUCCCUUCCUCCAAACCCUAGCUCACGCUCUCAUGUCCACCGCCGCGGACCCCUCCUCCCUCUCCGGCGACUCCUCCCCGACCUCCUCCGGCGACGCCGAAUCCUCCUCCUCCCCGUCCUCCUCCGCCGCCGCCGCUGGGGGCUCCGACGACCCCGCCCCCGUCGACCAAGUCGUCGCCUCGGGCUCCGGUGCAGGCGGCGAUGGCGACGCCGCCGCAGCCGUCCCAACCUCGCCGCGCAUUGGCAUGUACUUCGAGACGGAGGAGGACGCGUACGAGUUCUACAAGGCGUACGCCGCCAGGCUCGGCUUCGUCGUCCGCAAGUCCAACAAGUCCAAGAACUCGCGCCACACCGUCACCCGCCGCCUCUUCGUCUGCUCCAAGCAGGGAUUCCGCCAAGAACCCAAGAAGCCGCCUCAGGACGAGGCCGCCGCGGCGUCGCCCCCGCCUCCGCGGUGCCCGGACUCGCGCACUGGGUGCCUGGCGUCGCUCACCAUCAAGCUCCUCCCGUCGGCCAACGCGUUCCGAGUCACCGACUUUGCCACCGAGCACAACCACCCGCUCGCCUCCGCCGCGCCCGCCGUGUCGCUGGCAUUGCUGCCGCCGAGCUCGUCCCACCACACCAUCGCUGCCGUGGCGAGCCUGCCGGACCCGAGGGAUGGGCCACGCACCGAUAUGCACUUUGAGACGGAGGACGACGCGUAUGCUUUCUACAACCGGUACGCUGAGCAUGUGGGCUUCAGUGUCCGCCGCUCGUACAAGAAGCGAAAGCGUGGGGUGAUCGUGUCCCGGAUCUUUGUUUGUUCCCGCGAGGGAGUUAGUGACCGUGCCAAGCACGAGAGUAUUGCCAUUGUCAGCAACAAUGCUAGCACAGGGCCAUCAGGCACACCUAGACCAGGCCCUCCACCGACGCGGACAGGGUGCCAGGCAAGAAUGGUAAUCAAGAUCACCCCAUGCCGGACGUACCGGGUGGCAAAGUUUGUUCCGGAGCAUAAUCAUCCACUUGCCAAUCCAGAUAGUGUGCACAAGCUGCGGUCGCACAAAAUGAGGGCUCGAGCUCAUGAGCUUGGGGCAGGGGAACUGCAUCGCAGAAAGCAUGGGAAAGGUGUGCAACUUGGGGAUGCUGGAGCAGUGCUGGAAUACUUGGAAGAGCUGCAGGUAGGGAACCCUUCAGUGUAUUAUGCGGUAGGAGUGGGGCCUGAUGGAAAAUCAGCUGCAAAUUUCUUCUGGGCUGAUGCAGAGUCAAUGAUCGACUAUAGGAGCUUUGGUGAUGUUGUUUGCUUUGAUACAACAUAUGAGUUAAAUGGGUAUGGAAGGCCAUUUGCAUUGUUUGUUGGUGUGGACAACCACAAACAGAUGCUUGUGUUUGGUGCUGCUCUGCUUUAUGAUGAGAGCAUUGAAUCAUUGAAAUGGGUAUUCAAGGCGUUUGCUGAUGCAAUGUGUGGUAAGCAGCCAGACACUGUUUUGAUUGAUGAGCGUCCUGAGUGUGCUAUGGCAGCAGCAGAGGUUUGGCCAAGAAGUAGCCAUUGCACAAGUGUGUGGCAUAUCUACCAUAACUCAAAGAGGCACUUGAAGCAGGUAUUUGAAGGCUCAAAGAGUUUUGCCAAUGCUUUAAGCCAUUGUCUCUUUGAAUGUGAUGAUGAGGUGGAAUUCUUGUCAGCAUGGGAAAAACUAAUUGAGAAGCAUGAUGUAGGUGAGAAUGAGUGGCUCAACAAACUUUUUCUGGAGAAAGAAAAAUGGGCUUUGCCUUAUUGGAGAGCCUUGUUUUCUGCUGAUAUCCUCACCACUCUUAGGAAGGAUAAUAUGAUUAAUGAUAUUAAACGGGAGCUCAGUGAGCAAGAAGAUAUUCUGCAGUUCUUAAGGCGCUAUGAGACCAUGCUUGAGGAGCAUCGGUCAAAGAAAUUGCAGGCUGAUGUUGAUGGAAGCCAGGUGACAUUGCCAAUCCCAUCCUUGCGAAUGUUAAAGCAAGCUUCAAGUGCAUACACGCCCGAAGCUUUCAAGAUGUUCCAGGGUGAGUUUGAGGCUUACAUGAAUUGCAUGUCCUUCCCAUGUGGUGGACUUGGCACAAUCUCGGAGUAUAAAAUAACACUUGAUGAGAAGCCAUCAGAGAGCAUUGUGAAAUUUGAUGCACUAGAUGGAUCAGCUACGUGCAGCUGUAGGAAGUUUGAAUCUGUUGGAAUUCAGUGCUGUCAUGUACUAAAGGUACUUGAUCUCAAGAAUAUAAAGGAACUCCCAGAACAAUACAUUUUGAGGAGAUGGAGAAAAGACGCUCGUUCUGUCAGAAUAGGGGAAGAACCUUCUGGUGGAUCUAGCAGUAUGCGUUCAGCCUCAGAAGUCCGCUUCAGUACUAUGUGCCGUUUUCUUAGCUUGAUAGCUUCAAGGGCUGCCAGAUCUGAGGAGGCAACGUCUUAUAUCGAAAGUCAAUCAAGUGUUCUUCUGAAGCAUCUAGAUGAUAUUUUACAAACAGGUUAUCCUGAUAUAGGAAAUCAUGUUGUUGCUUCAAGUAGUCAACCAAUUUCUUUUGUGGGAAACCAACUUCCUGACCAUACAUCACAAGCAAGAGGAGUUCCACAGACCACAAAUGGCCUGAUGGGGGUUUGACAGAGCAAUUGCAGUCCAGACCAUACUGGCUACUAUGCUGUACUUGGACCCCAGAAUCAUAUGUGGCCCCUGCCGUCCAGUUCUGGGGUACUAUGUUCGUCGGAACUAGCCAUGUGUCACCACCACGGGGAGCUCCGCUACUAAAUAACAUCCUUAUAGACAGAGGCCCACUUGGUGGAGAGACAGCAGCCCACACUGCACCAUGAGUCCGGCUCAGAAGUUGGCAUGUCAAAUUCACAGUCUGCAUCAAGUCAUGAACAGUGUUUCACUUUACCUCACAAAGCUGGACCGCAAUGAUGUCCUGGUUGCCUUGCUGGUACCAGAUCUCAAAUUCAAGAUAGUUGGGGAAAUUGCUGCUCUCAGUAAUCUUGAAAACGAUAUUCUUGUUUGGGUAGGUACAAGAAACCCUGUAGUGUAGAGGAAACCAGAACCAUGACAUGUCAGUAACAGCACAUGCGUCCAUAAUUCCUUAUGCAGAUAUUGUUUCUAUAGUAGUUUUCAUUUUAUUUUUCAUCUAAGAAAACAAAUAGUUAUGCCGUUCAAUCAAGAAUUUUGGCAGAUUAAUUAUAUGCGCAGACCUCCUGUACUCAAUCCCAACCACGCCAAGGGUUAGCAGCGCUGUACCAGCAUCUGUACUCUGCGCCAUCCUGGUGAAAGCAUGCUGGCUGAGGAUGAAAUCAGUGCCAUCACUCGCCCCAGAGUCGGUGAUCACAAUUGUGACGCCAUUUGGAGAGCAAUAGUAAGGAUUCGUGCACCUCACCUAUUGGUAAUUGGCAUUGUUGGUAAAAAUGAAAGGAUUUUUUUUUAAUGAUUCACACAGCCUAGUCAUACAGAUGGAUUACCUGGUAGCAUGCACCACAGCCUACCCCAUCCCUGUAGAGGCUUGCUGAAGCUGAAACAUCACCAUUGUUGAGUGUUGCCCCAAAUGCGCCAUACUCACAUGCACCGUCUAGAAGUACAAUUAGAAACAAGUACAAUUUCUAUGAGCUAGCUUAGAAACUUUAUGCAUUUCCGAGUUUAAGUAUAAUUUAACUUCCUUUUUUUGGGUUCAUGUGAGGUAUGCUAACCCAAUUGAAGUAAUUUUAUCUGAAAGGUACUUACUUUCGGUCCCUUUUAUAUCAGAGUUGGGGUAAUAUGCUGCUCUCGACACAGUGAAGUUUGCAUCUGCAGUAGCCUUAGAGAGGAACAAGAUGAGAGAAAGUAUGACUGGGAGAUGCCGACGAAGCAGCUGAGCCAUUGGUGGUUUGGACCGUGGAGACGCGUACAAAGCCUUAAGAGAUGCGGUGCAUGCAAUAGGAGAGGUGAAACAAGCCAAGUAGUUCUAUUUGAUGUUGAUCUUGCCUCAGAGGUUGUUAUGUAUUUAUAGUGUUGAUAUUGCCUGGCUGUUUGCUAUCCUUAGGUUGCUGAUGAGUUUACGAGCUGGAAUUUUUUUUUAUUUUUUAUUUUUAUUUUUAUUUUUUGGUUUUGAAUGCCAAUGCCGUUGUUGACAAUGCUUCUCUCUGAUGAAUAUGUUCCCCCAAGUUGUGUGUUUACACUUUUUUCGCUUUCUCAAUUGCAAGAACAUUUUUA